RNAcentral lists this ribosomal RNA (808 nucleotides) under Psychrobacter maritimus. RNAcentral's name for it is "bacterial SSU rRNA". It matches the Rfam family "Bacterial small subunit ribosomal RNA", at positions 426 to 1226 of the family's 1533-position model. Lineage: Bacteria; Pseudomonadati; Pseudomonadota; Gammaproteobacteria; Moraxellales; Moraxellaceae. The record is from RNAcentral.
UAAAGCACUUUAAGCAGUGAAGAAGACUCCAUGGUUAAUACCCAUGGACGAUGACAUUAGCUGCAGAAUAAGCACCGGCUAACUCUGUGCCAGCAGCCGCGGUAAUACAGAGGGUGCAAGCGUUAAUCGGAAUUACUGGGCGUAAAGCGAGCGUAGGUGGCUUGAUAAGUCAGAUGUGAAAUCCCCGGGCUUAACCUGGGAACUGCAUCUGAUACUGUUAGGCUAGAAUAGGUGAGAGGAAGGUAGAAUUCCAGGUGUAGCGGUGAAAUGCGUAGAGAUCUGGAGGAAUACCGAUGGCGAAGGCAGCCUUCUGGCAUCAUAUUGACACUGAGGUUCGAAAGCGUGGGUAGCAAACAGGAUUAGAUACCCUGGUAGUCCACGCCGUAAACGAUGUCUACUAGUCGUUGGGUCCCUUGAGGACUUAGUGACGCAGCUAACGCAAUAAGUAGACCGCCUGGGGAGUACGGCCGCAAGGUUAAAACUCAAAUGAAUUGACGGGGGCCCGCACAAGCGGUGGAGCAUGUGGUUUAAUUCGAUGCAACGCGAAGAACCUUACCUGGUCUUGACAUAUCUAGAAUCCUGCAGAGAUGCGGGAGUGCCUUCGGGAAUUAGAAUACAGGUGCUGCAUGGCUGUCGUCAGCUCGUGUCGUGAGAUGUUGGGUUAAGUCCCGCAACGAGCGCAACCCUUGUCCUUAGUUACCAGCGGGUUAAGCCGGGAACUCUAAGGAUACUGCCAGUGACAAACUGGAGGAAGGCGGGGACGACGUCAAGUCAUCAUGGCCCUUACGACCAGGGCUACACACGUGCU